RNAcentral lists this small RNA (204 nucleotides) under Arabidopsis thaliana (thale cress). RNAcentral describes it as "ATSL168640". The record is from RNAcentral. Lineage: Eukaryota; Viridiplantae; Streptophyta; Magnoliopsida; Brassicales; Brassicaceae.
GAGGGAUUGAUUCAUUGAUAAGAAAAAGUAAAAGACUCUAGGUGAAGUAAGCUAAAGAAGCAGAAAAAGUCUAGUAAAGGUUUUGGGAUUUGAAAAGAAAAGAAAGAGUUCUUGUUAGCUAUUGAAGAUGGGCGAAAGCCCUUGGUUUUAAAAUGUUAAAAACAGGAACCUUAGUUGUUAAAGAAAUCCAAAUCCACUAGAUGU